RNAcentral lists this ribosomal RNA (520 nucleotides) under uncultured Scutellospora. RNAcentral describes it as "SSU rRNA". It matches the Rfam family "Eukaryotic small subunit ribosomal RNA", at positions 569 to 1094 of the family's 1831-position model. The record is from RNAcentral. Lineage: Eukaryota; Fungi; Glomeromycota; Glomeromycetes; Diversisporales; Gigasporaceae.
AGCAGCCGCGGUAAUUCCAGCUCCAAUAGCGUAUAUUAAAGUUGUUGCAGUUAAAAAGCUCGUAGUUGAAUUUCGGGGUUCUACCGUUGGUCGGGCUAUUGUCUGUACUGGCGUGUAGAAUUUCUACCUUCUGGGGAACUAUCAUGUUAUUAAUUUAGCGUGGUAGGAAACCAGAACCUUUACCUUGAAAAAAUUAGAGUGUUCAAAGCAGGCUUAUGUCUGAAUACAUUAGCAUGGAAUAAUAAAAUAGGACGGUGGUCCUGUUUUGUUGGUUUCUGAAUCACCGUAAUGAUUAAUAGGGAUAGUUGGGGGCAUUAGUAUUCAAUUGUCAGAGGUGAAAUUCUUGGAUUUAUUGAAGACUAACUACUGCGAAAGCAUUUGCCAAGGAUGUUUUCAUUAAUCAAGAACGAAAGUUAGGGGAUCGAAGACGAUCAGAUACCGUCGUAGUCUUAACCAUAAACUAUGCCGACUAGGGAUCGGACGAUGUUAACUUUUCUUGACUCGUUCGGCGCCUUACGGG